GUCCUGAGGAGCCAUGAUGUCUCCAGGAGCUGGGUAAAGGGCACAGGGAUCAGCCUCUCAAAGGAUUCCAGCCAGCUGUUCCAAUGCAGGAGGAAAACUGUGCCACCGAAGUCUCCCAGCACCUGGUCAGUGAAGUGCCACUUAACCCCGCUGUGAUGCACAGACCUUGCCCUGGCUGGCUGCACAGGGCUGAAUUUCACCCCGUCAGAGCGUAUUCUAAGGGUCCCCCGUGCAUCAUAUGGGCAUUCUUGAGUGUGCAGAUUGCAUCAGACCUGCACCUGAAUAAUUAAUAGUGACUGAAAUAUGCAGACACUAAAGUUCUGCAGCCAAAUUCUCAGAAACCUUCCUCUUCAAUGUAAGAUCA
Long non-coding RNA from Mauremys reevesii (Reeves's turtle), 364 nucleotides. RefSeq lists it as uncharacterized. The record is from RefSeq and is a predicted model, not a curated record. The transcript has 3 exons. NCBI's taxonomy places the organism in Eukaryota, Metazoa, Chordata, Testudines, Geoemydidae.